This 301-nucleotide ribosomal RNA is filed under the name uncultured bacterium. RNAcentral's name for it is "partial 16S ribosomal RNA". It matches the Rfam family "Bacterial small subunit ribosomal RNA", at positions 509 to 808 of the family's 1533-position model. The record is from RNAcentral.
CAGCCGCCGCGGUAAUACGUAGGUCCCGAGCGUUGUCCGGAUUUAUUGGGCGUAAAGCGAGCGCAGGCGGUUAGAUAGGUCUGAAGUUAAAGGCUGUGGCUUAACCAUAGUACGCUUUGGAAACUGUUUAACUUGAGUGCAAGAGGGGAGAGUGGAAUUCCAUGUGUAGCGGUGAAAUGCGUAGAUAUAUGGAGGAACACCGGUGGCGAAAGCGGCUCUCUGGCUUGUAACUGACGCUGAGGCUCGAAAGCGUGGGGCGCAAACAGGAUUAGAUACCCCAGUAGUCCCUGUCUCUUAUACC